Molecule: unclassified non-coding RNA, 235 nt
Filed under: Hevea brasiliensis (rubber tree)
Lineage: Eukaryota; Viridiplantae; Streptophyta; Magnoliopsida; Malpighiales; Euphorbiaceae
Source: RNAcentral
GUGGUUGCUCAAAUGAGGGAAAUGUUAAAUAAGGACAACCAGAAUUUGACAUCCAACUCUUUCUUGUUGGAUGAUGAUCUGAGCAUUCCAUUCUCUACUGAGGAUAUAGACAUGGCAAUUCCUGCAAUAGAUCCUUCUGAUGUUGAACUACCAAAGUUCUUGUCAGAAUAUCCUUGUGCUCAGUUUCUGGUGCUGCAUCAAAAGUAAAUGGUCUGGUUUAGCUCUGAAAAAACUG